GAAUUAUUGGACAAUGGGGCGCAACCCCUUGAUCCCAGCCCAUGCCCGCGUUGAGGUGAUGAAAGGCCCCUAGGGGUUUGUUAAAGCUCCUUUCGGGCGGGGGACAGAUAAAUGACGGGUACCCCGCAGAAAGAAAGCUCCCGGCUAAACUUUCGUGCCCAGCAAGCCCGCGGGUAAUACGAAAGGGGGGCUAGCGUUGUUCGGGAAUCACUGGGGCGUAAAAGCGCCACCUAGGCGGUUCUUCUAAGUCAGAGGUGAAAUCCCAGAGCUCAACUCCAGAAUUGCCUUUGAUACUAGAGAACCUUGAGUCCGGGAGAGGUGAGUGGAAUUCCGAGUGUAGAGGUGAAAUUCGUAGAUAUUCGCAAGAACACCAGUGGCGAAGGCGGCUCACUGGCCCGUGUACCUGACGCUCAGGCUGCGACAGCGUGGGGAGCAAACAGGAUUAGAUACCCUGGUAGUCCACGCCGUAAACGAUGGAUGCUAGCCGUUGGUAAGCAUGCCCGUCAGUGGCGCAGCUAACGCAU
This 524-nucleotide ribosomal RNA is filed under the name uncultured bacterium. RNAcentral describes it as "bacterial SSU rRNA". It matches the Rfam family "Bacterial small subunit ribosomal RNA", at positions 358 to 860 of the family's 1533-position model. The record is from RNAcentral.